Molecule: long non-coding RNA, 1106 nt
Organism: Cyprinus carpio carpio
Lineage: Eukaryota; Metazoa; Chordata; Actinopteri; Cypriniformes; Cyprinidae
Source: Ensembl
CAUCAAAGUACCAUGAGAGCGAUUCAAAAGCACAAGAAGCCGUUUGUUCCUUGAAAUCCUGGCCAGGACAUGUCCUGGGAAAAUUUCACAUUUGGUCACCCUAACAUUUAUAGUUAUGUGCUGCAUUUCGCAAAAGCAAUGUAAGUCCAAGGCAAGGCAGUCCAAACCUGUUCCUAGAGGGCCACUCUCCUGCAGUGUUUAGCUCCAACCUUAAUUAAACACACCUGAGCAAGCUAAUCAAGCUCUUUAGACCCACUGGAAACUUCCAGGCAAGUGUGUUGGAGCUGUUUGGAGUGAAACUCUGCAGGACGUUGGUCCUCCAGAACGAGGAUUGGACACCCCUGGCUUAAGUAGAUUGUAGAAACCAUUAGCACCAAUGAUCUCUAAAUUUUGAGGAAUGCAGCCAUGUUUAGUACGUUGAGUUUGUAGCCUGUUGUUUAGCACAUGAACUUUGACAUGUUGAACUGUUAUAGAGGAUCCAUUCCUACCCAUGUCAUUUUUAUUGUCUUAAGAUACCUAGCAACAACAGAGGACUCACUCUUCGAUUUUAUUGCAGAAUUAUGUUGAGUCUAAGACCUUUUCCUAACUUGCAAAGGCUACUAAAAAUUAGGGGUGGGGGAAAAAAUUGAAACAGCAUAGUAUCGCGAUAUUUUCCACAGCAAAACCCUAUCGAUACAGGGAUGCCAAGUAUCAAUCUUUUAUUAUACUAUUUGGUAGAAUAAUAAAAUCCAUUUCUUUACAGCCCACUAGAUGGUGAUGUUGAGUUUUUUCUGGUGAGGUCAGCUGGGUCACCUUUUGCAUGCUGUAAGUUAGUAAAAUAAAGAUGGCGGCAUCAUGGAAAGUUAUCAGGAAAGCCUCAUCCACAUUUAAAUCGGAUGAUGCCUACCUAAAAUCAGGGGACCAUUCUUCCAAUCUAUCACAAUUGCGUCGGGGUCCACCAACCCCCAAGUAAGCCACCCAUCUCCAUCUCUGUCAUCACCCAUCCCCCCCACUCAGCUGUUACUUUUCCAGAGGUGUCUAUACCAGACUUGUCCUUGAAUGGCUGAGAGAACCACUGUCCUCCCCCCUCUCCGGUCUCCCUAGAUUGAACAGUGAAUGAGGAUAAG